This 449-nucleotide ribosomal RNA is filed under the name uncultured bacterium. RNAcentral's name for it is "bacterial SSU rRNA". It matches the Rfam family "Bacterial small subunit ribosomal RNA", at positions 328 to 793 of the family's 1533-position model. The record is from RNAcentral.
UCAGUCGACUCCUACGGGAGCAGCAGUGGGGAAUAGUUGCACAAUGGGCGCAAGCCUGAUGCAGCAACGCCGUGUGAGUGAAGAAGGUUUUCGGAUCGUAAAACUCUGUCCUAAGGGAAGAAACAAAUGACGGUACCUUAGGAGGAAGCCCCGGCUAACUACGUGCCAGCAGCCGCGGUAAUACGUAGGGGCAAGCGUUAUCCGGAAUCACUGGGCGUAAAGGGUGCGUAGGCGGCUUAGCAAGCCAGGGGUGAAAGGCAUUGGCUCAACCAAUGUAAGCCUUUGGAACUGUUAGGCUUGAGUGCAGGAGAGGUAAGUGGAAUUCCUAGUGUAGAGGUGAAAUUCGUAGAUAUUAGGAGGAACACCAGUGGCGAAGGCGACUUACUGGACUGUAACUGACGCUGAUGCACGAAAGCGUGGGUAGCGAACAGGAUUAGAUACCCUGGUAG